Molecule: ribosomal RNA, 403 nt
Filed under: bacterium
Lineage: Bacteria
Description: partial 16S ribosomal RNA
Rfam family: Bacterial small subunit ribosomal RNA
Source: RNAcentral
UGGGGAAUAUUGCACAAUGGAGGGAACUCUGAUGCAGCGACGCCGCGUGAACGAAGAAGGCUUUCGUGUCGUAAAGUUCUUUUAUAUGGGAAGAUAAUGACGGUACCAUAAGAAAAAGCCCCGGCUAACUACGUGCCAGCAGCCGCGGUAAUACGGAGGGGGCUAGCGUUGUCCGGAAUCACUGGGCGUAAAGGGUUCGCAGGCGGAAAUGCAAGUCAGGUGUAAAAGGCAGUAGCUUAACUACUCUAAGCAUUUGAAACUGCAUAGCUUGAGUAGAGUAGAGGUAAGUGGAGUUUUUAGUGUAGCGGUGAAGUGCGUAGAUAUUAAAAAGAAUACCGGUGGCGAAGGCGACUUACUGGGCUCAUUCUGACGCUGAGGAACGAAAGCGUAGGUAGCAAACAGG